RNAcentral lists this ribosomal RNA (366 nucleotides) under Cryptosporidium parvum. Its description in RNAcentral is "SSU rRNA". It matches the Rfam family "Eukaryotic small subunit ribosomal RNA", at positions 348 to 715 of the family's 1831-position model. Lineage: Eukaryota; Apicomplexa; Conoidasida; Eucoccidiorida; Cryptosporidiidae. The record is from RNAcentral.
GGCAAUGACGGGUAACGGGGAAUUAGGGUUCGAUUCCGGAGAGGGAGCCUGAGAAACGGCUACCACAUCUAAGGAAGGCAGCAGGCGCGCAAAUUACCCAAUCCUAAUACAGGGAGGUAGUGACAAGAAAUAACAAUACAGGACUUUUUGGUUUUGUAAUUGGAAUGAGUUAAGUAUAAACCCCUUUACAAGUAUCAAUUGGAGGGCAAGUCUGGUGCCAGCAGCCGCGGUAAUUCCAGCUCCAAUAGCGUAUAUUAAAGUUGUUGCAGUUAAAAAGCUCGUAGUUGGAUUUCUGUUAAUAAUUUAUAUAAAAUAUUUUGAUGAAUAUUUAUAUAAUAUUAACAUAAUUCAUAUUACUAUAUAUUU